RNAcentral lists this long non-coding RNA (1458 nucleotides) under Gallus gallus (chicken). RNAcentral's name for it is "lncRNA (ENSGALG00010025273.1)". The record is from RNAcentral. Lineage: Eukaryota; Metazoa; Chordata; Aves; Galliformes; Phasianidae.
AUCUCCCUGGAGAUCCCUGCCUACUUGAGGCCUUCUGAAGUAUUUCAGCAGCUGGAGCCUCACAGGAGCUAUCGCUGUCUGGCUGACACAGAGGCACCAUUCUGGCGGAGAGGUCUCACCAUCCCUGCCGGGGUCUGAGGAAUUCUCAGAUGUUACCUCAGUGUGGGCACCCUAUGGCAUCCCUGCUCUGCCUUGGUAGGUGGGUCUCCUGGUACUGCUUUCUAUAUGAAAAGCUUGCACUUCCCAGCUGAAGUCCAGAUGCUGCAUUUAUGGUGGUAUAUUGUCCUGAUCAAUUUUUAAAAAACAUUUUCCUAUCUGUGAAAUUAAUGGGUGCCUGGAGAAAUAGCAGCUCCUCCCUGCUCCUGCCAAUGCUAACCUUUCCCAGAUGGGAAGAGACUUCUCCUUCCCUUUAUUUACCUGCAAGAUAUCCUCGCUAGUGCUCAGAACCACAAAAGGAGAGGAAAAAUAAUAAAACCUCUGUAAGUGGAAAGCAUUACCAACAGAACAACUGCGCCUACUCCAGCUGAGCACUGCCUUCCCAGGCUCCAUUACAGUGACUAAGCCCUGCAUAAUCUUCCCGGGGUCACAGAGUGAGCCAUUAGCAAGACAGCGCUAAGACAGAGGCAUCCUGAAUUUUGUAACUGCACUGAUUACUUUAAGACCCCAAUUUAAAAGGCCAUAGGUUUGUACUGGCAGCACAGUCAUACAGAUAGCUACUUACAGCCUUACAAAUUGGUUUUCUUGCAAUCAUCAUCUUGCUACUAUGUGCUGGCAGCGGUUUUUGUUAUGUUUUGUCUCUUUCACUUGUCUGUGUGCUGCUGACCAUUAUUUGUGUUGUGAUUGGCUGCGAAAAGAUGAAGGAAGGCUGAGAGGAGAGGAGCCUCACCCUGUCCUGGUGCUCCUGCAGCAGGCCGUGCUGCUGCACUGGUCAACAUUGCCUCCAUCUCUCAGCAUUGCUUUCCCAUGUGUGUGAAUGCACCCACUGGGUAGCCCAGGAGGGUGUACUGGGCUGCCUGAUCCAACCAGCCACCAUCUUGUGUGGGUUAUGAAGGCUGCUUCAGUGGGCAUCAAAAUGAAUGUUCGUACUUCAUUCUGUGUCCUGGAUGGACUCUUUACGUGCACUAUUUGUAAUGUCUCAGACCUCAGCUCUCAAAGGCUGAUAAUCACUCAGGUGGAUGGACUUCAAAAGGCAAUGCCUCCAUAGAGAACACCUCUGGCUGUCUCGGUUGACACCUUCUUACCAUAGGCAUAGUGGAAAAGCUGCACAGGCUUACAACAGAUUAAUAAAAAGAAAUAUUUGCUUCUGUAUUAGAAAAAUACGCAUUGCACUUUAUAUCUUUUUUUUUUUUAGCAAUGUUUCCUUUCCCUUUAAUUUUUUCUUCCCAGUAAGAUGGACCCAGGUGUCAUUGCGUUGUUGUAACAUGCACAGUAAUUUCAGAUGAUUAAUACUGCGACACC